GUACCUACUGUAGGGAUAAAUUAUGUAAAAAGAGUAAAAACAUGUUUGAAUGACACAAAGUCAGCCCUUUGCUCGUCAAACCCGCCUUCGACAAUUUGCCAAUUUGCAUAAACCCCUCUAAUAUUUGACCUAAAAGAGCUGUGGCGGCUCCGCUUGAGUGGUAAUGCUGUCUGUGCAUCCACACCACUGACCACGUCUGAGGGAACAGACUCUGCUCUGCUCGCGGCGGUCAACGCGCCUGUCCUUUUUUCACAGUGGAGAGAACACAGGGAAAAAAUGAGGAAAAGAGAGGAGAAACCAGAUCAGGAAACGCUGCAAAUCAAGCUUAAACCCACAUGAAGGCCAUGGCUCAAUGAGUGAACCAUCACGCAAUGGCUCUCACCUGAACAGACUUGUAUUUUUAUGCCACUGAGUGGUUUGAACAGGCAGUAAGAUGAAAUGAUGGUUGGAACGGACCGAUACAGUAGCUCCAAUGAUGUAGAUGUAAUGCUGUGAAUGACCUUCUGUCAACCCUCAGCCUGUUCCAUCAGCCAACAGCAUCUUCCCUACAGACAAAUAUUAAAGGUCUAGACAGGAAUGACAGAGACUGAGGAGGACCUUACAGCCAGAGCAGAAAGAAAGGUAAUAGAAUAGGUAAUCAAAAACAUGGCCUAUCUAUCAAAUCCCAUUCUCUCCAAUACAAUCACUUUUGUUUGGACCUAAUCAUAAAGAAGAAGCAGAUAAGUCUGAUGGUGGAGAAGCAAAGCCUUAAAAAAGUUUUAUUCAGGCAGGAUUAAAAUAAGAGGCGCAAACACUCAACAAACAGUUAUCUCACUUCAGGGCAAGCCUGCAAUCGUUUCCAAGUAUCAUUUUGCAAGUUUGAGCCAGUAACCAAAGUAGUAUAAAGGAUAGUUUACCCAAAAAAGAACCUUCUGUAACCAUUUAUGCACCUUCAUGUUGUUCCAAACCCAUAUUUUCUUUUUUAGCAGUUCACACUGCUUUGUUCUGUAUAAUGACUGGGACCUUUCAUGCUUCAAAAAUGCUGAAAAAGCUCCAUAAAAGUAACAUUGAAGUAGUCCAUUCAUCUUUGUGCGCUAAAUUCCGAGUAUUCUGAAGUAAUUCAAUAGGUUUGUUUUCAGAAGAGAGCAAAAUUUAAGUUUCCCUCUACACCAGCUCUCAACUAUUUAAAAAAAAAAAAAAAAAAAGAUGUUUUAAUAUAUAUUUUGAUAUGGUUAAUAAUGAAUAAUUAUAUACAUUUCUUUGUUUGGGCAAUAUUUCAUAUAAUAAAUUAUAUUUUGACAUGGAAGUAAGCAGACAUGGAUGGAGACCCUAUAGCAAGCGACCCCUUAUUUAUUUAUUUAUUUAUUUAUUUUUUAUUCAUUUAUUCAUUUACUUAUUUUCAGAGUGGUAUUAUUUUGUGAUUGGCAUGUAUACAGUGUGGUUAGGAAGAUCUCUCUCCCUUCUUUUUUUUUUUUAAACUUGGAAUUACAUCAAAGUAUAGAAGUACCGUAAAUAAUAACAAAAAAGGGGAAAAAAUUUGUCUACGAACACAGAAUAUUAUGCGAAUUGUAUUGAAUUCUAAGACAAGAAAAAGCAAAUAAAAAAAAAAAUAAUACAGUUUUUAUUUCAGUUAAAGCUACAGUUCGUAACUUUUUUUUGGUUAAAAAUGAUCCAAAAUCAAUUUUUGAGCAAAUACAUAAUCAGCCAGUGUUCAAAACUAUCUCCUUACCUUAGCCCAAUUCACAACGGUAAGCUUGUAAUAAUGUUUUUUAAUCUGAGUGGUACUGGUGGGUUUUCAUGGGAAAUUCGAGCAUACCGCUAUUCAUCUUUGCGUCAUUACGUCACGUCUGUUUACAUAAAGAAGGAGUCCCAGCUAGUAGGCUAUAUCGAAUGUGAGGAUGCUGCAGGAGACACAUCAUUUAUAGCCUUUUCUCACAGCAAACUUAUCAUGUCAGAAAAGCAAAACAUAUGGAGCCGGUUAAGCAAUGCAAAGUCCAAAAUAUAUUUGUUUACACAUUGUGCACUUUGGUAAAAGCAUUUUGAGAUCAUAAUAUAAUAUUGUGCAAGGAGAUGUGAAAACAAGUCUUUAUUAAUCCAUAAUCUGACCCUGUAAUCAUGAAAACGAUUUAAAUUGCUUGCUGUUUUACUGCCUCUAGUGGUCAUUUCUGUUGGAAACUGCAGUGAUAUGUACGUAUAGGUACGUAUUUUGUGACUUGCAAAAAUGUUCCCACAAGUACAUCUUUCCAUGAGACCAGUUUGGCUAAUACACACUAAAUACACGUAGUUAUGCAAUGCUGUUGUUGUUAACAUUAACUAUUUGAGAUCAAAGUAUAACAAUAAUAAUAAUUUGCACAGUUUGAUGUGAUAUGAGCUAAGUGAUCGUUAGAUUUAAACUUCAUUGGUAGCACAAUUUAUUGUGUAAUGCUUUUUUUUCUCAGUUGGUCAGAAAAAAGCGGUUACUUACUUGUUCAGAUGACAUUUUCUGGUGAAAAUUCUUAUUUUGGUCAUACUUUUCUAAGACUACAAUCUGUGAUUAUGAAGUACAGUAUAAAUCAGUGCGGUGACUGACAGCAAACAUUCUCAAAACAUUAGAUUCAUUCGCACUGAGGAGCCGUGUCGAUGCACAACCCACGUAAAGAUGAUAAUUCCGCAAAUAACUGCAAUUGCAGGUUUCAAACAGAGAUGGCGACAAAGAGGCAAAACUUACAGACUGCAGCUUUAAAUCUCAGCCUGAAAAAAGCAGUAUCAACAUUCUGCAACAAAUCUUUUGAUCUGUUGUGUUCCACAGAAGAAAGAACAUUCAGAUUUGGAUUGCAAUGAGGGUGAAUAAAUAAUGACAGAUUUUUCAUUUUAUGGGUGAACUACAGGCAUCCUUUUAAAACUGUGCAAACACAGCCUUGCACAACUGUAAUCUGUGAGCUGUAAUUCUGUUUUUGCAUUCACUUUUUUCUUAAAAAGCUGUGAUCAUCUACCACAUCCACAACAGAUAAGGAAAGGCAGCAAAUGUUUGACUGGAAUAAAUAGCUUUGGACCUCCUGUGAGGAAGAGAGAGCCAUUUGAGCCACACGUUCAUUUCCGAGAGCAAAAAAAGAAACGGGAAUUGAGACUCUUUCAGAUGAUACACCAGACGAGGUGUAUGAGUGGGGCUUUUGUACGGAAACCUGCUUGCGAUUAUUGGCUGUGGGUGGAAAUAUGAUUAAGUGCACUCAGAGUUCAGAGGCAAUAAGCGCCCACAUUUGUGUUGCUUCAAGAAUAUGGUCUCACAACCGCUCUGAAGGCAAUGUGAUUUACUGUAUGAAAGGUCAAGUUCAGACUGAAGAGAAGGAAUAUAUUAUACAAGUAAAGUAACCUUAUUAAGUAUGAGUAAUGAGCGUACACACACCUACUGACAUUCAUUCUUUUAAAGGGGCACAGCUAUACAGAUUGCAGGACCAUUAAAAGUCAAAUGCACAAUUCAGGAAGACUUCAAUUCUCUAAUUAUCUAUUGUGCACAAUUAUAUCAUAAUUAGUUCUCAUUUAUAACGAUACAAGUGCGUCUAAGCCCUAUUUAUGAAUCUUUAUGACCAUCAUGAGGGGAUCUAAAGGGCUGGUCACUCAAUGUAGAGAAUGUGCUAUAGUUUCAUUUGGGGAAAAACAGGAUAUAAUCAGGCCAGAUGAUGUCAUUAUGUCAUUGAUUUGUAUAAGCCUUGAAAUUACACUGCUUGAGAGAAGGGUAUUGACACAUAGUGUAAUUAUGAGGGUUUUUAGCUUGAUGACCGAAUUGAUUAUCGCAUGGAUUUUGGCACUGCAUUAGCAAGCUCUGGCAAAACUUCAUAAACAAUUUCCUUUGCUGUCGCACUGGAAGUCAGACUCCAGAAUCCCCUUGAAAUUAACAGAAUAUUAAAGUAAACAUAUCAAAUGUCAUUACUUUCAAAUAAAACGCCAUUAAAACUCUAGAUGAAUUACCCAUCUUAAUUCAAAUCUUGCAAAGUUGUGUUCACACUGGGUCAAUGUCUGAAUCCCUCCUCACAUACUUUGAUGCUUUCCAUGGAAAAACAUUGUAAUUGAUCCUCAUAUUGCCCCUUAACUCACAAGAUUUGUUCUUCAUGCUUUCAGUUUCAUGGGGCCGGUGCUCAUAUUAUUUAUUACUGCAGGUCUUGGUUUCUGAUUAAUUCCAAGCUAAUUGCAACCUGUGCAUGAGCUAUUGAUUUUUGAGACAUAACUUUGCCCCUGGCUGCAAUUUAGUAAUUGUGCAAAGACAAAUGUGCCUAAAACCUAAUCUGAAACUCAGAAAAAUUAUGACCAUCAUCGCCUAAUAUUUUAGAGGCUGGUAAACACAGUGACUCUGACAAAAAGCUGCCCUGCUUUCAUAAUCCAUAAACCCACCGUUACUGUAAAUAAAUAAAUAAAAAAAAUAAAAUGAAAUAAAUACAUAAAAUAAAAUAGGGCAUCAACUGAUUUUACAAGCCUGGGGCCCUAGAGAUGCGAAAA
Molecule: long non-coding RNA, 4449 nt
Organism: Ctenopharyngodon idella (grass carp)
Lineage: Eukaryota; Metazoa; Chordata; Actinopteri; Cypriniformes; Xenocyprididae
Exons: 2
Source: RefSeq, a predicted model, not a curated record